RNAcentral lists this ribosomal RNA (256 nucleotides) under uncultured bacterium. RNAcentral's name for it is "partial 16S ribosomal RNA". It matches the Rfam family "Bacterial small subunit ribosomal RNA", at positions 521 to 776 of the family's 1533-position model. The record is from RNAcentral.
UAAUACGGAGGGGGCGAGCGUUGUUCGGAAUCACUGGGCGUAAAGAGUGCGUAGGCUGUUAUACAAGUCAGAAGUGAAAUCCCAGGGCUUAACCCUGGAAUUGCUUUUGAGACUGUAUGACUAGAGAUCUAGAGAGGUUGGGGGAAUUCCGAGUGUAGAGGUGAAAUUCGCAGAUAUUCGGAGGAACACCAGUGGCGUAGGCGCCCAACUGGCUAGAUACUGACGCUGAGGCACGAAAGCGUGGGGAGCAAACAGG